Molecule: non-coding RNA, 1311 nt
Organism: Coturnix japonica (Japanese quail)
Lineage: Eukaryota; Metazoa; Chordata; Aves; Galliformes; Phasianidae
Source: RefSeq, a predicted model, not a curated record
CACAAGACGCUCCUACAUGUAACCAGUUGUUGGGCGGGUAUUAAAGGCUGUAAGCACCUACAAUUAAGGUCCUUCGUCCUUUGUUCUGCAUCAGAGAGGGAGUUUUAGCCUCUCGCCGCACGCCUAAGAGAGCGCGGAGCCCUCUUGCCACAAAUGGUGCCCUAACAGGGGUACGAAAGGUUGACCGGUCAGAAGCGCAGGGCUGAGAGAAGUGCCGUGCAGAGAGGCUCCGUCUAAAAAGAGAGAGCUGAAAAGUAGCUCUGGCAGAGUCGGGCUGGAAGAAACCCUGUCCUUCUGAAAGAAGAUCAAGACUGAGAGAAGUCUUAUCAUCCCCAGCUGCUCCGAUUGCCUUUCGCUGGACGAAGGUGAUGGGGGACUGGAUGGAGCUGGUGGAUUUUCUCUCCUUGGAGAUCUUCAAAAGCCAUGAAGAAAUGAACAUUUUCCUGGGUCAUCUACUAACUUCUGUCUAAAGCACACGAGCUCAGUACACCUGGGGACCUCAGAAAGGACCCUUCCACUUUGCCAGAAGGAAAACGGGGUUUUGAUGUCUGCUGAUAGCACUUACUGUCUCGUUAACAUUUCCUCUUGCUGCAUGCCUUUUCUUAAUAGCUGUUCCCUCCUAAGUUCUUGCUCUUAUUGACCCUCUCUCUGAGCCAUUACCAUUUGGAGAGGGUUUCACAGACCAACAUCCUGCCUCAGUUAAACCUCUUUACCAGAGGGCUGAUCCUUACAUUCCUGCCCUACAUCUUCGGGAGCUGACAGACCAUCCUCACGAAAGAUUCCUCAUAUGCAUACUCUGCUGUGAUCUUAAAGCAGGGACAGUGGUACAACGAAGAAUGCGUAAUGGAUAAUUUCUGCUGGAAAAAGGGACUGCAGAAAUUACCUGUGAACGAUGUUUCUGAGCCCAUUUGCAGUACAAUAUCUGAAUGUGGCUGAAAUGCACCAGAGAGAACACGCCGACUCUGUGAAGAACAAAGAGAAGCUCCAGACUCAUUCUUAAGUGAGAAAGGACAAUACCAGCAUGGACUGGGCAAGUGCUGGGUCCUACUAUGGCCUGUCAGUGUUGCAUCAGGUAGCAAAACUUCUGUUAUGUGCUUCAUCCCCCAUAUUUAAGAAUAUAAUUUAUGUAUAACUGUAGCUACAGUUUUCAUCACCUCUUUUAAUUUUUCUAAAUGAUGCUGAGGUAUUUCAUAUAUUUUAUUAUUUUUAGAAGGCUUCUGAUUCUGAAUCUGUUUGUGUAUUGCUUUCAUUUAUUAAGAUGUAAUUGUUAGAAGAGCUUUGUGCAUCACAAUAAAAAGUCCAGCAAUGGCA